AUCCCUUCGCAGUGGCGAUAUCAUAGCCUAUGAGGUCUAGCCGAGGCGUGAUUAUUGUGGUUGAAAACUUAAACCAAUACCCCGCCGGGAGACUUGCAAUACAGCGGCUGGCAAUUUUGAUAGUCUCGUCGAGA
This 134-nucleotide small nuclear RNA is filed under the name Esox lucius (northern pike). RNAcentral describes it as "U4 spliceosomal RNA". It matches the Rfam family "U4 spliceosomal RNA". From Rfam's summary of the family: U4 small nuclear RNA (U4 snRNA) is a component of the major U2-dependent spliceosome. The structure of U4 snRNA from yeast and human has been reported. U4 snRNA presents a k-turn RNA motif in the 5p-SL related to recognition of Snu13 protein. Lineage: Eukaryota; Metazoa; Chordata; Actinopteri; Esociformes; Esocidae. The record is from Rfam by way of RNAcentral.